AGAAUCAACGCUGGCGGCGUGCCUCAGACAUGCAAGUCGAACGCGAAAGUUUCCUUCGGGAGACAAGUGGAGUGGCGCACGGGUGAGUAACACGUAGGUAAUCUACCUUCGGAUGGGGAAUAACAGUCGGAAACGGCUGCUAAUACCGCAUAAUGCAGCGGCACCUAAUGGUGACAGUUGUUAAAGCGGGGGAUCGAAAGACCUCGCGUCUGAAGAGGAGCCUGCGGCGGAUUAGCUAGUUGGUAAGGUAAUGGCUUACCAAGGCUACGAUCC
Molecule: ribosomal RNA, 273 nt
Filed under: uncultured bacterium
Lineage: Bacteria
Description: partial small subunit ribosomal RNA
Rfam family: Bacterial small subunit ribosomal RNA
Source: RNAcentral